AAACAAUAGCAACAUAUUUGUGGAAGAUUAUUUCGACCAGUAACAUCAACGAGGAGCUGUCCAACCAACCAAAUUGUGAAGAUAUAGACAUCCAAGUUGGUGAUAUCGACCGGCCGUCAGGUUUCACCAUGAUGUUCAUUCCGGUUGCUCACCAGCUAAAGUUGCUAUCCUUUUGGAUAGCUUGAGGUCAAAUUGAAGUCGGCUGGGAGCUCGUUCGAGGAAAUCAAGAAAGGAAUGAUUUGAUAUAUACGCUUGUUUGGGCAAAUAUCUUGCCGAAUAAAGCA
This 284-nucleotide unclassified non-coding RNA is filed under the name Hevea brasiliensis (rubber tree). Lineage: Eukaryota; Viridiplantae; Streptophyta; Magnoliopsida; Malpighiales; Euphorbiaceae. The record is from RNAcentral.